This 442-nucleotide ribosomal RNA is filed under the name Undinella oblonga. Its description in RNAcentral is "partial 12S ribosomal RNA". The record is from RNAcentral. Lineage: Eukaryota; Metazoa; Arthropoda; Copepoda; Calanoida; Tharybidae.
UUUAAAAAUAAUUUGAUUUAAUUUUUUAAGAAUUUUAAAUAAUUUAUUUAAAUUAGUUGUAAAAUUUAUUAAUAUUUUUUAAAUAAUUUAAAUUUGAAAUAAUUAAUCUAAACUGGGGUUAGAUGCCCACUAUAAGUUUAUUAAAUUAAUAUAGGUAUUAAAGGCGUAUACCCAAAACCUAAAAAACAUGGCAGUAUUUUACUCCCUGCAGAGGAAUUUGGGUAUUAAAUGAUAAUCCUCAUAAAUUUUUCUUUAUUUUUUUUUAUGUGUGGUUGUUUAAAUAAGUAUAAAAAUAAUAAAUUAUAAUUCAGAUUAUAUGUAAAAAUAAUUGAGCAUACUUUAAUUACAAAUAAAAAAUUUUUAGAGGAUUUGCGUGUAAAAUAGUAAUAAACUUUUGAAGAGGUUAUAAAAUGUGUUCAUAUUGUCCGUCACUCUCUGAGAA